Non-coding RNA from Drosophila melanogaster (fruit fly), 944 nucleotides. The record is from Ensembl. NCBI's taxonomy places the organism in Eukaryota, Metazoa, Arthropoda, Insecta, Diptera, Drosophilidae.
AUGGACAAGCAAAGCGACAAAGAGCGAGAGAGAAACCAGUUGUCGUGGCACGUCGACCACAUUCCACGCGAAAGAGUGACGCCGGUGAAGACGUCGACUGCAGCAGAGGUGGUGGCACACACUGCAUGUGGAGGCCGAGUUUUGGAGAUCUACUGGAUGCUUGGCGCUUGGCAUGCGACACCCCGAAAAAAGACGAAAUAAGAAGGGGAAUAAGGGCACAAAAACUUAAAAUACGGUCAAAUACUCAUAUAUAUGUUUUUUAUAUAGAGUUAUAUAAGCAUAUAACUAUAUAUCAUGGAUCCAUUUUCAUGAAUUGCAUAACCAAUCUUCCAUAUAGAAAUAUGUACCUAUCAGUAACCUUAAACUGUCAUAGUUUUAAGAAUGGUUUUACAUAACUUGAUACAUAAAAACAAACUUUGCAUGGAAACCAGAGAAGAACAAAGGUGGCGCCCAAUGCAGGGCCCGAAGAAGAAGAAGCAGAAGCAGAAGCCGCAGCUUAAGGCCGAUCAAUCGCCAUCGAUAUCGGGGGUGCCUUGUAUUUGUUUAUCUUUCGUCAGCGUCUUUCAAUUCAUUCCAUUUCCAUGUUGCCUUGCAGAUAAGAAAACUGUGAUAACGCAACGACCAAGAAAAGAAGAGCAGAGUGAUAAAAAGACGGCGGAGCGGCAUUUCAAAUGCCCACGAUUUAUAAUCUGUUUGCCUUAAUUUCUUACUCAAAUGGCUAGCGAAUUACAAUAAAUUCCUUAACCAGGCAUGUAAUCGCGUUAUCAUCAUUAUUUACAAUUACAACAGCAGCACGCACACACAGGCACUCAGUCGCACACCUUCGUAUCUUGGAAAUGGAUGUGGACGAGGAACCAGCAGAAGACUUUGAAUGCACCAAGAGAAAUUAUAUGGUUGAAAGUGUAUUUACUAGUAUGGCAAUAAAUUAAAAUUUUUUCAAUGAU